Long non-coding RNA from Marmota monax (woodchuck), 450 nucleotides. RefSeq lists it as uncharacterized. The record is from RefSeq and is a predicted model, not a curated record. NCBI's taxonomy places the organism in Eukaryota, Metazoa, Chordata, Mammalia, Rodentia, Sciuridae. The transcript has 2 exons.
CUGGCGCCCAGCCCCCUGCCGGCGGGUCCACCCGCGGGCUGGCCCUCCCGCACGCACGCUCCGGUUGUCGGGGUCCUCCUCCUAGAAGAAGAACUGAAAACACUCGGAGCUCCACAGCCUUCGGGGCGACCCGACUGGGUUCGCUGGUCCGUCGGAGCACACCAACAGGCCUGCGCCAGGUGCUGGUGGAGGAGCAGACAUUGUGCUCAAGAAAAUGGAAUGAACAUGAGACUCAAAUCCAUGUCCAUUUGUUUUUAUUAUCAAGAGAACAAGAAAGUGUUCUUGAUUUUUAAAAAAUAUGCUUUCUUAACCAUCCAGAUGUAGGGGACAGGGCCAAAUAUAUUAUUUGAUAUCAUUUGGGUGUUCCAAGUCCACAGAUGUGUCUAGUUUGGAAGCUAUUGAUACAAGUUUUCUCUUUAAGAAAAUAAAUCUCAUCUUGAAACUCUUUAA